Molecule: transfer RNA, 89 nt
Filed under: Pelagibacteraceae bacterium TMED65
Lineage: Bacteria; Pseudomonadati; Pseudomonadota; Alphaproteobacteria; Candidatus Pelagibacterales; Candidatus Pelagibacteraceae
Also listed under: 1 other name
Description: tRNA-Leu
Rfam family: tRNA
About the family: Transfer RNA (tRNA) molecules are approximately 80 nucleotides in length. Their secondary structure includes four short double-helical elements and three loops (D, anti-codon, and T loops).
Source: RNAcentral
GCGAGCGUGCUGAAAUUGGUAAACAGACAGGACUUAAAAUCCUGCGGGUGGCAACACCCUUGUGGGUUCAAGUCCCACCGCUCGCACCA